UGGGGAAUAUUGCACAAUGGGGGAAACCCUGAUGCAGCCAUGCCGCGUGUGUGAAGAAGGCCUUCGGGUUGUAAAGCACUUUCAGUAGGGAGGAAGGUAGUGUAGUUAACACCUGCACUAUUUGACGUUACCUACACGAAGAAGCACCGGCUAACUCCGUGCCAGCAGCCGCGGUAAUACGGAGGGUGCGAGCGUUAAUCGGAAUUACUGGGCGUAAAGCGCAUGCAGGCGGCCUGUUAAGUCAGAUGUGAAAGCCCGGGGCUUAACCUCGGAAUUGCAUUUGUAAACUGGCAGGCUAGAGUCUUGUAGAGGGGGGUAGGAAUUUCAGGUGUAGCGGUGAAAUGCGUAGAGAUCUGAAGGGAAUACCAGUGGCGAAGGCGGCCCCCUCGGACAAAGACUGACGCUCAGAUGCGAAAGCGUGGGGAGCAAACAGGAUUAGAUACCCCUGGUAG
This 452-nucleotide ribosomal RNA is filed under the name uncultured bacterium. Its description in RNAcentral is "bacterial SSU rRNA". It matches the Rfam family "Bacterial small subunit ribosomal RNA", at positions 355 to 793 of the family's 1533-position model. The record is from RNAcentral.